AGCAGCCGCGGUAAUACGGAGGGUGCGAGCGUUAAUCGGAAUUACUGGGCGUAAAGCGCAUGCAGGUGGUUUGUUAAGUCAGAUGUGAAAGCCCCGGGGCUCAACCUCGGAAUAGCAUUUGAAACUGGCAGACUAGAGUACUGUAGAGGGGGGUAGAAUUUCAGGUGUAGCGGUGAAAAUGCGUAGAGAUCUGAAGGAAUACCGGUGGCGAAGGCGGCCCCCCUGGACAGAUACUGACACUCAGAUGCGAAAAGCGUGGGGGAGCAAACAGGAUUAGAUACCCCUGGUAG
RNAcentral lists this ribosomal RNA (290 nucleotides) under uncultured bacterium. Its description in RNAcentral is "partial 16S ribosomal RNA". It matches the Rfam family "Bacterial small subunit ribosomal RNA", at positions 510 to 793 of the family's 1533-position model. The record is from RNAcentral.